This 65-nucleotide transfer RNA is filed under the name Curtonida isos. RNAcentral's name for it is "Munida isos tRNA-Leu". Lineage: Eukaryota; Metazoa; Arthropoda; Malacostraca; Decapoda; Munididae. The record is from RNAcentral.
UCUAAAAUGGCAGACAGAAUGCCCAAGAUUUAAGCUCUUGUAAUGAAGAUUCUCUUCUUUUAGAA